RNAcentral lists this ribosomal RNA (665 nucleotides) under uncultured fungus. Its description in RNAcentral is "eukaryotic LSU rRNA". It matches the Rfam family "Eukaryotic large subunit ribosomal RNA", at positions 24 to 664 of the family's 3401-position model. The record is from RNAcentral. Lineage: Eukaryota; Fungi.
CCCGCUGAACUUAAGCAUAUCAAUAAGCGGAGGAAAAGAAACUAACAAGGAUUCCCCUAGUAACUGCGAGUGAAGCGGGAAAAGCUCAAAUUUAAAAUCUGGCGGUCCUUGUGGCUGUCCGAGUUGUAAUCUAGAGAAGUGCUAUCCGUGCUGGACCGUGUACAAGUCUCCUGGAAUGGAGCGUCAUAGAGGGUGAGAAUCCCGUCUUUGACACGGACUACCAGGGCUUACGUGAUGUGCUCUCGAAGAGUCGAGUUGUUUGGGAAUGCAGCUCACAAUGGGUGGUAAAUUCCAUCUAAAGCUAAAUAUUGGCGAGAGACCGAUAGCGAACAAGUACCGUGAGGGAAAGAUGAAAAGAACUUUGGAAAGAGAGUUAAACAGUACGUGAAAUUGUUGAAAGGGAAACGCUUGAAGUCAGUCGCGUCGUCCGGGGAUCAACCUUGCAAAUUUUGCUAGGGUGCAUUUUCCGGUUGAUGGGUCAACAUCAAUUUCGACCGUUGGAUAAAGGCUUAGGGAAUGUGGCAUCUUCGGAUGUGUUAUAGCCCUUGGUCGCAUACAACGGUUGGGAUUGAGGAACUCAGCACGCCGAAAGGCCGGGUUUUAUUACCACGUUUGUGCUUAGGAUGUUGGCAUAAUGGCUUUAAUCGACCCGUCUUGAAACACGG